CUGGAAUAUCACGUCAUUCCGGCAUCACUAAACUGCGGGAGCAGUGCGGAGCAAGAAGACUGAGCUCCCAAGAGAAGAUCUCACACCAGCUCCCAAAGGUAAGGAGCAAUAAAUACAAUGAUUUGGGUGUGUGCAAGAAUGUUGAAGUGUGUGUGUGUCUGUCACUGUCACUGUAUGUGUGUGACUGUCAGUGUGUGUGUUUGUCAGUGUGUGUGUGUGACUGUCAGUGUGUGUGUGUGUGACUGUCAGUGUGUGUGUGUGUGACUGUCAGUGUGUGUGUUUGUGUAUGUCAGAGAGUGUGUGUGUGUCUGUCAGUGUUGCGAUGGCCGCGGCCAGACAGUGAAGAACCUGGCGGGGCACGCAACGCCACAUUCUGACGUUAACGUGCUCCACCUUCACAGGUUUUCAAGGAGUAGCAGGAGGAUGCAGACGGCGCCAUUGGGGGUAUACCAGAGGCUGGACUCCGGAGUCGCAUACUGGCAGCGGCAAUGUAAGUGGA
This is a non-coding RNA of Pelobates cultripes (western spadefoot toad), 499 nucleotides long. The record is from the annotation of a GenBank genome assembly. Lineage: Eukaryota; Metazoa; Chordata; Amphibia; Anura; Pelobatidae.